AGAGUUUGAUCCUGGCUCAGGAUGAACGCUGGCGGCGUGCCUAACACAUGCAAGUCGAGCGAUUCUCUUCGGAGAAGAGCGGCGGACGGGUGAGUAACGCGUGGGUAACCUGCCUCAUACACAUGGAUAACAUACCGAAAGGUAUGCUAAUACAAGAUGAUAUAAGAGAUUCGCAUGGAUUUCUUAUCAAAGCUCCGGCGGUAUGAGAUGGACCCGCGUCUGAUUAGCUAGUUGGUAAGGUAACGGCUUACCAAGGCAACGAUCAGUAGCCGACCUGAGAGGGUGAUCGGCCACAUUGGAACUGAGACACGGUCCAAACUCCUACGGGAGGCAGCAGUGGGGAAUAUUGCACAAUGGGCGAAAGCCUGAUGCAGCAACGCCGCGUGAGUGAUGAAGGCCUUCGGGUCGUAAAACUCUGUCCUCAAGGAAGAUAAUGACGGUACUUGAGGAGGAAGCCCCGGCUAACUACGUGCCAGCAGCCGCGGUAAUACGUAGGGGGCUAGCGUUAUCCGGAUUUACUGGGCGUAAAGGGUGCGUAGGUGGUUUCUUAAGUCAGGAGUGAAAGGCUACGGCUCAACCGUAGUAAGCUCUUGAAACUGGGAAACUUGAGUGCAGGAGAGGAAAGUGGAAUUCCUAGUGUAGCGGUGAAAUGCGUAGAUAUUAGGAGGAACACCAGUAGCGAAGGCGGCUUUCUGGACUGUAACUGACACUGAGGCACGAAAGCGUGGGGAGCAAACAGGAUUAGAUACCCUGGUAGUCCACGCCGUAAACGAUGAGUACUAGGUGUCGGGGGGUUACCCCCCUCGGUGCCGCAGCUAACGCAUUA
Molecule: ribosomal RNA, 826 nt
Filed under: uncultured bacterium
Lineage: Bacteria
Description: bacterial SSU rRNA
Rfam family: Bacterial small subunit ribosomal RNA
Source: RNAcentral